Molecule: ribosomal RNA, 405 nt
Filed under: Triticum aestivum (bread wheat)
Lineage: Eukaryota; Viridiplantae; Streptophyta; Magnoliopsida; Poales; Poaceae
Description: partial small subunit ribosomal RNA
Source: RNAcentral
AUGAAAGAUAUGUUGCUCAAGAAGAUGGUCCUGGGUGUUGUUGUUGCUUAUGUGUACGUAGUAAAGUUCCAGAAGAGAGGCCUCCCCCACGCACAUUUUUUGUUGAUCAUGGAUUCAACGUAUAAGCUUCUUGUCCCAGAGCAGUAUGACCGACUCAUUUCCGCAGAGCCCCCAGACAAGCAGAAGUAUCCGGAAUUGUAUGCAAUGGUGGUAAAACAUAUGAUGCAUGGACCAUGCGGUGCUCUCAACCCGAAGAAUGUUUGCAUGCAAGAUAAUGAAUGCAAAUGCAGAUACCCACGGCCGUUCAAUGAGAACACGGUACAAGGCAAGGACUCAUACCUAGUUUAUCAGCGUAGAGACGAUGGUAGACGCGCUAAGGUUCGAGGGAAAAUGUUGGACAACUGA